GAUCAUGGCUCAGGAUGAACGCUAGCUACAGGCUUAACACAUGCAAGUCGAGGGGCAGCAUGGUCUUAGCUUGCUAAGGCCGAUGGCGACCGGCGCACGGGUGAGUAACGUUUCGUAUCCAACCUGCCUUACACUCUUGGACAGCCUUCUGAAAGGGAGAUUAAUACAAGAUGUUAUCAUGAGUAAGCAUUUUCGCAUGAUUAAAGGUUUACCGGUGUAAGAUGGGGAUGCG
Molecule: ribosomal RNA, 232 nt
Filed under: uncultured bacterium
Lineage: Bacteria
Description: partial 16S ribosomal RNA
Rfam family: Bacterial small subunit ribosomal RNA
Source: RNAcentral